CACACAUAGUAUAUUAAAUAUGUUAAAUUUAGAUUUUAAAGAUUAGGGUGUGUU
Molecule: transfer RNA, 54 nt
Filed under: Marshallagia marshalli
Lineage: Eukaryota; Metazoa; Nematoda; Chromadorea; Rhabditida; Trichostrongylidae
Description: tRNA-Leu
Source: RNAcentral